RNAcentral lists this ribosomal RNA (254 nucleotides) under uncultured bacterium. RNAcentral's name for it is "partial 16S ribosomal RNA". It matches the Rfam family "Bacterial small subunit ribosomal RNA", at positions 524 to 776 of the family's 1533-position model. The record is from RNAcentral.
GACGUAGGGUCCAAGCGUUGUCCGGAUUUACUGGGCGUAAAGAGCGCGUAGGCGGCUCGAUAAGUGUGAAGUGAAAUCUCUAGGGCUCAACCCAGAAACUGCUUUACAUACUGUCGAGCUGGAGUGUGGCAGAGGGAGGUGGAAUUCCACGUGUAGCAGUGAAAUGCGUAGAGAUGUGGAGGAACACCGAUGGCGAAGGCAGCCUCCUGGGCCAGCACUGACGCUCAUGCACGAAAGCGUGGGGAGCAAACAGG